This 411-nucleotide ribosomal RNA is filed under the name alpha proteobacterium BAL129. RNAcentral describes it as "bacterial SSU rRNA". It matches the Rfam family "Bacterial small subunit ribosomal RNA", at positions 47 to 504 of the family's 1533-position model. The record is from RNAcentral. Lineage: Bacteria; Pseudomonadati; Pseudomonadota; Alphaproteobacteria.
CCUAACACAUGCAAGUCGAACGAAGGCUUCGGCCUUAGUGGCGCACGGGUGCGUAACGCGUGGGAAUCUGCCCUUGGGUUCGGAAUAACAGCGAGAAAUUGCUGCUAAUACCGGAUGAUGUCGCGAGACCAAAGAUUUAUCGCCUGAGGAUGAGCCCGCGUUGGAUUAGGUAGUUGGUGGGGUAAAGGCCUACCAAGCCGACGAUCCAUAGCUGGUCUGAGAGGAUGAUCAGCCACACUGGGACUGAGACACGGCCCAGACUCCUACGGGAGGCAGCAGUGGGGAAUAUUGGACAAUGGGCGAAAGCCUGAUCCAGCAAUGCCGCGUGAGUGAUGAAGGCCUUAGGGUUGUAAAGCUCUUUUACCCGGGAUGAUAAUGACAGUACCGGGAGAAUAAGCUCCGGCUAACUCC